AUCGCUUCUCGGCCUUUUGGCUAAGAUCAAGUGUAGUGAAGUAUAGUUGAUUUAUAAUAUUGUAUUAAUUUUUUCUGUACAACAAAGUGAUUCAAU
This is a small nuclear RNA of 96 nucleotides. Its record names the gene U2. It matches the Rfam family "U2 spliceosomal RNA". Rfam says of the family: U2 is a small nuclear RNA (snRNA) component of the spliceosome (involved in pre-mRNA splicing). Complementary binding between U2 snRNA (in an area lying towards the 5' end but 3' to hairpin I) and the branchpoint sequence (BPS) of the intron results the bulging out of an unpaired adenosine, on the BPS, which initiates a nucleophilic attack at the intronic 5' splice site, thus starting the first of two transesterification reactions that mediate splicing. The record is from Ensembl.